Molecule: ribosomal RNA, 301 nt
Filed under: uncultured bacterium
Lineage: Bacteria
Description: partial 16S ribosomal RNA
Rfam family: Bacterial small subunit ribosomal RNA
Source: RNAcentral
CAGUAGCCACGGGAAUACGAAGGGGGCUAGCGUUGCUCGGAAUUACUGGGCGUAAAGGGCGCGUAGGCGGACAGUUAAGUCGGGGGUGAAAGCCCGGGGCUCAACCUCGGAAUUGCCUUCGAAACUGGCUGUCUUGAGUACGGGAGAGGUGAGUGGAACUCCGAGUGUAGAGGUGAAAUUCGUAGAUAUUCGGAAGAACACCAGUGGCGAAGGCGACUCACUGGCCCGUUACUGACGCUGAGGCGCGAGAGCGUGGGGAGCAAACAGGAUUAGAUACCCCCGUAGUCCCUGUCUCUUAUAC